GUUAAGCGACUAAGCGUACACGGUGGAUGCCCUGGCAGUCAGAGGCGAUGAAGGACGUGCUAAUCUGCGAUAAGCGUCGGUAAGGUGAUAUGAACCGUUAUAACCGGCGAUUUCCGAAUGGGGAAACCCAGUGUGAUUCGUCACACUAUCAUUAACUGAAUCCAUAGGUUAAUGAGGCGAACCGGGGGAACUGAAACAUCUAAGUACCCCGAGGAAAAGAAAUCAACCGAGAUUCCCCCAGUAGCGGCGAGCGAACGGGGAGCAGCCCAGAGCCUGAAUCAGUGUGUGUGUUAGUGGAAGCGUCUGGAAAGGCGCGCGAUACAGGGUGACAGCCCCGUACACAAAAAUGCACAUGCUGUGAGCUCGAUGAGUAGGGCGGGACACGUGGUAUCCUGUCUGAAUAUGGGGGGACCAUCCUCCAAGGCUAAAUACUCCUGACUGACCGAUAGUGAACCAGUACCGUGAGGGAAAGGCGAAAAGAACCCCGGCGAGGGGAGUGAAAAAGAACCUGAAACCGUGUACGUACAAGCAGUGGGAGCACGCUUAGGCGUGUGACUGCGUACCUUUUGUAUAAUGGGUCAGCGACUUAUAUUCUGUAGCAAGGUUAACCGAAUAGGGGAGCCGAAGGGAAACCGAGUCUUAACUGGGCGUUAAGUUGCAGGGUAUAGACCCGAAACCCGGUGAUCUAGCCAUGGGCAGGUUGAAGGUUGGGUAACACUAACUGGAGGACCGAACCGACUAAUGUUGAAAAAUUAGCGGAUGACUUGUGGCUGGGGGUGAAAGGCCAAUCAAACCGGGAGAUAGCUGGUUCUCCCCGAAAGCUAUUUAGGUAGCGCCUCGUGAAUUCAUCUCCGGGGGUAGAGCACUGUUUCGGCAAGGGGGUCAUCCCGACUUACCAACCCGAUGCAAACUGCGAAUACCGGAGAAUGUUAUCACGGGAGACACACGGCGGGUGCUAACGUCCGUCGUGAAGAGGGAAACAACCCAGACCGCCAGCUAAGGUCCCAAAGUCAUGGUUAAGUGGGAAACGAUGUGGGAAGGCCCAGACAGCCAGGAUGUUGGCUUAGAAGCAGCCAUCAUUUAAAGAAAGCGUAAUAGCUCACUGGUCGAGUCGGCCUGCGCGGAAGAUGUAACGGGGCUAAACCAUGCACCGAAGCUGCGGCAGCGACACUGUGUGUUGUUGGGUAGGGGAGCGUUCUGUAAGCCUGCGAAGGUGUGCUGUGAGGCAUGCUGGAGGUAUCAGAAGUGCGAAUGCUGACAUAAGUAACGAUAAAGCGGGUGAAAAGCCCGCUCGCCGGAAGACCAAGGGUUCCUGUCCAACGUUAAUCGGGGCAGGGUGAGUCGACCCCUAAGGCGAGGCCGAAAGGCGUAGUCGAUGGGAAACAGGUUAAUAUUCCUGUACUUGGUGUUACUGCGAAGGGGGGACGGAGAAGGCUAUGUUGGCCGGGCGACGGUUGUCCCGGUUUAAGCGUGUAGGCUGGUUUUCCAGGCAAAUCCGGAAAAUCAAGGCUGAGGCGUGAUGACGAGGCACUACGGUGCUGAAGCAACAAAUGCCCUGCUUCCAGGAAAAGCCUCUAAGCAUCAGGUAACAUCAAAUCGUACCCCAAACCGACACAGGUGGUCAGGUAGAGAAUACCAAGGCGCUUGAGAGAACUCGGGUGAAGGAACUAGGCAAAAUGGUGCCGUAACUUCGGGAGAAGGCACGCUGAUAUGUAGGUGAAGUCCCUCGCGGAUGGAGCUGAAAUCAGUCGAAGAUACCAGCUGGCUGCAACUGUUUAUUAAAAACACAGCACUGUGCAAACACGAAAGUGGACGUAUACGGUGUGACGCCUGCCCGGUGCCGGAAGGUUAAUUGAUGGGGUCAGCGCAAGCGAAGCUCUUGAUCGAAGCCCCGGUAAACGGCGGCCGUAACUAUAACGGUCCUAAGGUAGCGAAAUUCCUUGUCGGGUAAGUUCCGACCUGCACGAAUGGCGUAAUGAUGGCCAGGCUGUCUCCACCCGAGACUCAGUGAAAUUGAACUCGCUGUGAAGAUGCAGUGUACCCGCGGCAAGACGGAAAGACCCCGUGAACCUUUACUAUAGCUUGACACUGAACAUUGAGCCUUGAUGUGUAGGAUAGGUGGGAGGCUUUGAAGUGUGGACGCCAGUCUGCAUGGAGCCGAGCUUGAAAUACCACCCUUUAAUGUUUGAUGUUCUAACGUUGACCCGUGAUCCGGGUUGCGGACAGUGUCUGGUGGGUAGUUUGACUGGGGCGGUCUCCUCCUAAAGAGUAACGGAGGAGCACGAAGGUUGGCUAAUCCUGGUCGGACAUCAGGAGGUUAGUGCAAUGGCAUAAGCCAGCUUGACUGCGAGCGUGACGGCGCGAGCAGGUGCGAAAGCAGGUCAUAGUGAUCCGGUGGUUCUGAAUGGAAGGGCCAUCGCUCAACGGAUAAAAGGUACUCCGGGGAUAACAGGCUGAUACCGCCCAAGAGUUCAUAUCGACGGCGGUGUUUGGCACCUCGAUGUCGGCUCAUCACAUCCUGGGGCUGAAGUAGGUCCCAAGGGUAUGGCUGUUCGCCAUUUAAAGUGGUACGCGAGCUGGGUUUAGAACGUCGUGAGACAGUUCGGUCCCUAUCUGCCGUGGGCGCUGGAGAACUGAGGGGGGCUGCUCCUAGUACGAGAGGACCGGAGUGGACGCAUCACUGGUGUUCGGGUUGUCAUGCCAAUGGCACUGCCCGGUAGCUAAAUGCGGAAGAGAUAAGUGCUGAAAGCAUCUAAGCACGAAACUUGCCCCGAGAUGAGUUCUCCCUGACUCCUUGAGAGUCCUGAAGGAACGUUGAAGACGACGACGUUGAUAGGCCGGGUGUGUAAGCGCAGCGAUGCGUUGAGCUAACCGGUACUAAUGAACCGUGAGG
RNAcentral lists this ribosomal RNA (2893 nucleotides) under Escherichia coli. RNAcentral describes it as "partial 23S ribosomal RNA". It matches the Rfam family "Bacterial large subunit ribosomal RNA". Lineage: Bacteria; Pseudomonadati; Pseudomonadota; Gammaproteobacteria; Enterobacterales; Enterobacteriaceae. The record is from RNAcentral.